GAUGAACGCUGGCGGCGUGCCUAAUACAUGCAAGUCGAGCGAACAGACGAGAGUGCUUGCACUCUCUGACGUUAGCGGCGGACGGGUGAGUAACACGUGGGUAACCUACCUAUAAGACUGGGAUAACUUCGGGAAACCGGAGCUAAUACCGGAUAAUAUUUAGCUUCGCAUGAAGCAAUAGUGAAAGACGGUUCUGCUGUCACUUAUAGAUGGACCCGCGGGGUAUUAGCUAGUUGGUGGGGUAACGGCUCACCAAGGCAACGAUACAUAGCCGACCUGAGAGGGUGAUCGGCCACACUGGAACUGAGACACGGCCCAGACUCCUACGGGAGGCAGCAGUAGGGAAUCUUCCGCAAUGGACGAAAGUCUGACGGAGCAAUGCCGCGUGAGUGAAGAAGGUUUUCGGAUCGUAAAACUCUGUUGUAAGGGAAGAACAAGUACGUUAGUAACUGAACGUACCUUGACGGUACCUUACCAGAAAGCCACGGCUAACUACGUG
Molecule: ribosomal RNA, 499 nt
Filed under: uncultured bacterium
Lineage: Bacteria
Description: partial 16S ribosomal RNA
Rfam family: Bacterial small subunit ribosomal RNA
Source: RNAcentral